GUGUCAGCCGCCGCGGUAAGACAGAGGUGCCAAGCGUUAGGCGGAAUCACUGGGCUUAAAGCGUGUGUAGGCGGAUCGUUAAGUGCCUUGUGAAAUCCCACGGCUCAACCGUGGAACGGCUGGGCAUACUGGCGGUCUUGAGCUGCCUAGGGGUCGCUGGAACAAACGGUGGAGCGGUGAAAUGCGUAGAUAUCGUUUGGAACGCCCAAGGUGAAAACAGGCGACUGGGGGCAAGCUGACGCUGAGACACGAAAGCCAGGGGAGCAAACGGGAUUAGAUACCCCCGUAGUCC
Molecule: ribosomal RNA, 292 nt
Filed under: uncultured bacterium
Lineage: Bacteria
Description: partial 16S ribosomal RNA
Rfam family: Bacterial small subunit ribosomal RNA
Source: RNAcentral